RNAcentral lists this ribosomal RNA (115 nucleotides) under Flavobacterium psychrophilum. The record is from RNAcentral. Lineage: Bacteria; Pseudomonadati; Bacteroidota; Flavobacteriia; Flavobacteriales; Flavobacteriaceae.
UAAGGUGAUUAUUGCGGCGGGGCUCACCUCUUCCCAUCUCGAACAGAGAAGUUAAGCCCGCCUGCGCAGAUGGUACUGCAUUUAUGUGGGAGAGAAUCGGAUAGGGUUUCUUUAA